RNAcentral lists this ribosomal RNA (255 nucleotides) under uncultured bacterium. RNAcentral's name for it is "partial 16S ribosomal RNA". It matches the Rfam family "Bacterial small subunit ribosomal RNA", at positions 524 to 776 of the family's 1533-position model. The record is from RNAcentral.
UACGAAGGGGGCUAGCGUUGCUCGGAAUCACUGGGCGUAAAGGGUGCGUAGGCGGGUCUUUAAGUCAGGGGUGAAAUCCUGGAGCUCAACUCCAGAACUGCCUUUGAUACUGAGGAUCUUGAGUUCGGGAGAGGUGAGUGGAACUGCGAGUGUAGAGGUGAAAAUUCGUAGAUAUUCGCAAGAACACCAGUGGCGAAGGCGGCUCACUGGCCCGAUACUGACGGCUGAGGCACGAAAGCGUGGGGAGCAAACAGG